CCAACAUGUGUAAUACAGAUAUAAAUAGAAUUGCUGUGUGGUGUGCUCUAUGUGACCUGAGGGUUUGUAUUAGUAAUUAAAGUUGGAUAAAGGAGCCUAUAUUUGCUGAAUACCAAGGGAAAUCUGGACUACUUACAAACUGCGGCUGACACUGUGGAAAGACACGACCAUGUCUGCUUCUGACAGCCCACUCAUCACUUCGCUCCUGGGUCUGCCUCCUUCAUCCGGUUGCCCAUUACCUCAUCUGGAAGGUCUUGGGCCCCAGUAUAUCAGGCAGGUCCUUGGAGCCAGGAAACUCCUUUCCCUUGAUGCCUUCACUUUCUGCAGCUGCCACGAGCCUGAAUGCAUCUGCGCAGGCUUGGUCUUGUUUCUUCAAAAACUGGGAGAUUUGGACCAGGGAAAAGUCUGCAAAAGAAGAGAUGCCAGGUUCCUGAUUAAACAGAAACACAGAUAUGUACAAGAAAGAAGACAACUGGGCAUCCU
Molecule: long non-coding RNA, 483 nt
Filed under: Rattus norvegicus (Norway rat)
Lineage: Eukaryota; Metazoa; Chordata; Mammalia; Rodentia; Muridae
Description: long non-coding RNA NONRATT008137
Source: RNAcentral